ACAUGCAAGUCGAACGAACGCUGGGAUUGAGUGCUGCUUGUCUCAUGAUUUACAUUUGAGUGAGUGGCGAACUGGGGAGUAACACGUGGGAAACCUGCCCGGAAGCGGGGGAUAACACCUGGAAACAGAUGCUAAUACCGCAUAACAUCUUGGACCCCCUGGCCCGAGCUUGAAAGAUGGCUUCAGCUAUCACAUUUUGGAUGGUCCCGCGGCGUAUUACCUAGAUGGUGGGGUGACGGCUCACCAUGGCAAUGUACGUGGCCGACCUGAGAGGGUAAUCGGCCACAUUGAGACUGAGACACGGACCAAACUCCUACGGGAGGCAGCAGUAUGGAAUCUUCCACAAUGGACGAAAAUCUGAUGGAGCACCGCCGCGUGAGUGAAGAAGGAUUUCGGCUCGUAAAACUCUGUUGUUAAAUAAUAACAUAUCUGACAGUAACUGUUCAGGUAUUGACGGUAUUUAACCACAAAGCCACGGCUAACUACGUGCCAUCAGCCGCAGUAAUACGUAGGUGGCAAGCGUUGUCCGGAUUUAUUGGGCGUAAAUCAAGCGCACGCGGUUUUUUAGGUCUGAUGUGACAGCCUUCUGCUCAUCCGAAGAAGUGCAUCGGAAACUGGUAUACUUGAGUGCAGAAGAGUACAGUGGAACUCCAUGUGUAGCGGUGAAAUGCGUAGAUAUAUGGAAGAGACCUGUGGCUAAGGCGGCUGUCUGGUCUGUAACUGACGCUGAAGCUCGAAAGUAUGGGUAGCACACAAGAUUAGAUACCCUGGUAGUCCAUACCGUAAACGAUGAAUGCUAAGUGUUGGAGGGUUUCCGCCCUUCAGUGCUGCAGACUAACGCAUUAAGUCAUUACUCCCUGGGAGUACGGCCGCACGCUGAAACUCAAAGGCAUUUGACUGGAGUCCGCACAAGCGGUAGAACAUGUAGCUGUAACUUCGAAAUCUUCGACGAAGAUCUUAACAAGGAUUUGAGCUACUAUGCAAAUCUAAAAAAGUAGACGCUCGCUUCGGGACAUUGCAUGCCGGUGGUGCAUGGUUGACGUCAGCUC
Molecule: ribosomal RNA, 1049 nt
Filed under: Lactiplantibacillus plantarum
Lineage: Bacteria; Bacillati; Bacillota; Bacilli; Lactobacillales; Lactobacillaceae
Description: bacterial SSU rRNA
Rfam family: Bacterial small subunit ribosomal RNA
Source: RNAcentral